UGGACGAGAAUAAAGAUAGAGUCCCGUUCCACAUGUCAAUACCGACAACAAUGAAAUUUAUAG
RNAcentral lists this transfer RNA (63 nucleotides) under Nasa profundiserrata. RNAcentral describes it as "partial tRNA-Leu". The record is from RNAcentral. Lineage: Eukaryota; Viridiplantae; Streptophyta; Magnoliopsida; Cornales; Loasaceae. RNAcentral also lists the same sequence under 1 other name.